Molecule: ribosomal RNA, 568 nt
Filed under: uncultured bacterium
Lineage: Bacteria
Description: bacterial SSU rRNA
Rfam family: Bacterial small subunit ribosomal RNA
Source: RNAcentral
CCUACGGGAGGCAGCAGUGGGGAAUAUUGGGCAAUGGAGGAAACUCUGACCCAGCGACGCCGCGUGCGGGAUGAAGGCCUUCGGGUUGUAAACCGCUUUCAGCAGGGAAGAAGCGAAAGUGACGGUACCUGCAGAAGAAGCACCGGCUAACUAUGUGCCAGCAGCCGCGGUAAUACAUAGGGUGCAAGCGUUGUCCGGAAUUAUUGGGCGUAAAGAGCUCGUAGGUGGUUCGUCACGUCGGAUGUGAAAAUCUGGGGCUUAACCCCAGACCUGCAUUCGAUACGGGCGAGCUUGAGUAUGGUAGGGGAGUCUGGAAUUCCUGGUGUAGCGGUGGAAUGCGCAGAUAUCAGGAGGAACACCAAUGGCGAAGGCAGGACUCUGGGCCAUUACUGACACUGAGGAGCGAAAGCGUGGGGAGCGAACAGGAUUAGAUACCCUGGUAGUCCACGCCGUAAACGGUGGGCACUAGUUGUGGGGACCUUCCACGGUCUCUGCGACGCAGCUAACGCAUUAAGUGCCCCGCCUGGGGAGUACGAUCGCAAGNUUAAAACUCAAAUUGAAUUGACGG